This 105-nucleotide small RNA is filed under the name Marmota monax (woodchuck). Lineage: Eukaryota; Metazoa; Chordata; Mammalia; Rodentia; Sciuridae. The record is from RNAcentral.
GCUGGGCAAGGUGGCCCAUGCCUGUAAUCCCAGCAGCUGAGAAGCUGAGACAAGAGGAUUCAAGUUCAAAGCCAACCUCAGCAACUUAAUGAAGCCCUGUCUCAA